This 101-nucleotide microRNA precursor is filed under the name Marmota monax (woodchuck). The record is from RNAcentral. Lineage: Eukaryota; Metazoa; Chordata; Mammalia; Rodentia; Sciuridae.
AGUGAAUUGCUGGAUCUUAUGUUAAGAUAUGUUUAGUUUUUUACAAAACCACCAGACUGUCUGCCAAAGUGACUGUACUACUUUGCAUUCCCACUAGCAAU